This is a long non-coding RNA of Alligator mississippiensis (American alligator), 842 nucleotides long. RefSeq lists it as uncharacterized. Lineage: Eukaryota; Metazoa; Chordata; Crocodylia; Alligatoridae. The record is from RefSeq and is a predicted model, not a curated record. The transcript is spliced from 2 exons.
GUUUCCUUAGAUCAAAAAACAAAGCCACCACAUCAAAAUCUUAGUCAUAGAGAAGUAGGGUUGGAAGGGAUUCUCCAGAGGUCAUCUAGUCCAACCCACUACAGGAGGCAGGAUCACCCCUAUCCAAACCAUCCCAUACAACCAAUAAGCUAAACUCUACAUAAGACUACCCUCAACCCUGACACAAUGUAGACCUAACACCCUAAACUGCCACAGGGAAAGCAGGAGUGUCACAAUAGUCAGUGUUCUGCUUCUACAAAAUGCUGUCAAUAUAUUUAGUCCUUGUCAUACAAAUGCUACCUUCCCUCUUUUUCAGGGAUCUGAGUUUUCCACGGAAAAACAGAAAAUCAUGGAUUUCCCAAUUUUAUCAGAGAAAAAACAGAUUUUCCCUUUUAGCAGAGAAACUUGCAGAUCUCCCACUUGCAAAGAGCUGUGCAUGUGGCAGAGUUCCAGCCUGCAAGAGCUAACUGCAAAAAGGGCAGGAAACCCCCAACCCUACCUGGAGGGCGAGGGAGAAGGGGACGGGUGGGCCUGAGGCGCUCACUCACCCAAGGCUGGGCUCAGGCUCACUUUCCUUCCCGGAGCCUGUGAGGCUGUUGAGCGCAGCAAGGAAGGUAGUGAUGCUUCUGACAGUGAACUGCUGGUCAGGCUAACCUUGGAUAUAUACAACCUCAAGGUAUGCGACAGACAAAGUAUUUCAUCCCACUGAAAUAAAUGAGCAUACGUCACAGCCAACAGCACUAAAGCCUUGUUUACAUUACGAAGUCUGCCAGCAGAAAUGCACCUUCACAACUAUUGUUAUCUGUGUUAUUAAAACUGGCAUCAGUUUUGUCUGUCUGUGA